Molecule: unclassified non-coding RNA, 208 nt
Filed under: Hevea brasiliensis (rubber tree)
Lineage: Eukaryota; Viridiplantae; Streptophyta; Magnoliopsida; Malpighiales; Euphorbiaceae
Source: RNAcentral
AUUUUAUCAGGGUCAUCAGAAUACUACUGUACUCAGUUUGGAUUUAUCAGGACAAACACAGAAUGUUACUGGAUUGUUGCAGGCACUGCAGGUGGAUCAACAAAGAGGAAGUAUUCCAUUGAAUCUCAGGGCAAAAGUUCCAGUGAAGCUCAAGAUUGGGAAUUUGAAGCUAAUGAAAUGGAACUUUUUGGUGAAGUGUAGUCUGGAU